RNAcentral lists this unclassified non-coding RNA (1202 nucleotides) under Zea mays. Its description in RNAcentral is "misc RNA Zm00001eb047680". Lineage: Eukaryota; Viridiplantae; Streptophyta; Magnoliopsida; Poales; Poaceae. The record is from RNAcentral.
AGCUGCCACCCUCCCCCGCCCCAGAUCAGGGGCUACCGCCGUCGCGAGAGCGCAAGCUCCGAGGGCCGGCCCUACCACCAUCGCGGGAGAUCCAACCGAGAAGGUGCGAGGAGAGCCCACUGUCGCGUCUUGUUGGUGGGCCGCCGUUGCCCGGUAUCUCGGUGCCGCUGCCGCUAGGGAGCCUGCUGCUCUCAAGGAAUCUGCCCGUGGAGCCGUCCGAGGAUCCCACCGCCGUCGUCGUCGUCGCCGCCGGGGAGCCCGCCCAAGGAUCAAGUCGCUGCUGCCCGGGACGACUUUGCAGAUCCACGCUCGUACAUGUCAGAUCCACCCUCCCCCACCCCAGAUCGGGGGCUACAGCCCGAGCUCACCCCUCCGCUGGGCCAUCAAGCUUGAGGAAGGAGACCCAAUCUCAACACUCCGCCACUCAUUUGCGGUCAGUCCGCGGAAGGAGAGCAAGGCACCAGUGUGGAAGGAGAGAAUCUGCCCGGCCUCAAGCCCACCGUUUGAGCUCGCCGGUUGCUCGUUCCCGAGUGUUUGUCCCUAUCCUGCAUCAUGUAGGGCCGCUCUCUUCCCUAGAUUGGUUGCUGCCAUCGAUGGAGGCGACCGAUCUUAGCGCUAUCAGAGGCCCCGUCUCCAAUAGCCACCAUCUGGGCUACCCACCAUCACUGGCCACGCUGUCGUCAAGGGUCCUCCCUCUUCAGACCAUGUUGCUAAUGUUGUCGGAUGCUGUUGCAAGGAGCAAGUCAGAGAGGAGCUUUGCCAUCAAGAGGUGGGCUUGGGGCAGGUGUUAUCGCUGCCUCGCACAUGAUCACCAAGACAGCUCAUGCAAGAACUUCUGUUGCAACCGCUGUCGCCGCCCAGGUCAUCGGGAGCGACAUUGUCGCUUUUGGUUUCCUCUUCUGCCCGUCGAGUUAACUCCUCUAAGCAAUGUGACCAUCCUCAACAAUCGAGGACUUGGGCUGAGGUAGUGGCCAAGCCUUCGCCAAGUACGUUGUUAGCUGACGUCAUCGCCAAGUCUCAAUUGCAAGAACAUCGCAAUCCUUUGUUGGCUUCUCAACCCAUCGAUUUGCAUGGUAAGGACGACGAUCCUGUUUGUCAUAGCUGUUGUUGUGCCUCUCUUGACUCGACACCUUUGAACCUUCAGUCCUUGAUCACCCCUUUGGCCGAGUCGUUGUGAGCAAAGUUUCAACAUAUGUUUUCAA